GGCGGUGUAGCUCAAUGGCAGAGCACUUGCCUAGCAUGUAUGAGGCUCUGGGUUCCAUCCCUAGUCCCCCCA
Molecule: transfer RNA, 72 nt
Filed under: Heterocephalus glaber (naked mole-rat)
Lineage: Eukaryota; Metazoa; Chordata; Mammalia; Rodentia; Bathyergidae
Rfam family: tRNA
About the family: Transfer RNA (tRNA) molecules are approximately 80 nucleotides in length. Their secondary structure includes four short double-helical elements and three loops (D, anti-codon, and T loops).
Source: Rfam by way of RNAcentral